AAAUAAAUUAAAACUUUCAACAACGGAUCUCUUGGCUCUGGCAUCGAUGAAGAACGCAGCGAAAUGCGAUAAGUAAUGUGAAUUGCAGAAUCCAGUGAAUCAUCGAAUCUUUGAACGCACAUUGCGCCCGCCAGCAUUCUGGCGGGCAUGCCUGUUCGAG
RNAcentral lists this ribosomal RNA (160 nucleotides) under Beauveria bassiana. Its description in RNAcentral is "5.8S ribosomal RNA". It matches the Rfam family "5.8S ribosomal RNA". Rfam says of the family: 5.8S ribosomal RNA (5.8S rRNA) is a component of the large subunit of the eukaryotic ribosome. Lineage: Eukaryota; Fungi; Ascomycota; Sordariomycetes; Hypocreales; Cordycipitaceae. The record is from RNAcentral.